AGUGAACGCUGGCGGUAGGCCUAACACAUGCAAGUCGAACGGCAGCACAGUAAGAGCUUGCUCUUACGGGUGGCGAGUGGCGGACGGGUGAGGAAUACAUCGGAAUCUACUUUUUCGUGGGGGAUAACGUAGGGAAACUUACGCUAAUACCGCAUACGACCUACGGUUGAAAGCAGGGGAUCUUCGCACCUUGCGCGAUUGAAUUAGCCGAUGACGGAUUAGCUAGUUGGGGGGGUAAAGGCCCACCAAGGCGACGAUCCGUAGCUUGUCUGAGAGGAUGAUCAGCCACACUGGAACUGAGACACGGUCCAGACUCCUACGGGAGGCAGCAGUGGGGAAUAGUGGACAAUGGGCGCAAGCCUGAUCCAGCCAUACCGCGUGGGUGAAGAAGGCCUUCGGGUUGUAAAGCCCUUUUGUUGGGAAAGAAAGGCAGCAGGUUAAUACCCCGCUGUUCUGACGGUACCCAAAGAAUAAGCACCGGCUAACUUCGUG
RNAcentral lists this ribosomal RNA (492 nucleotides) under uncultured bacterium. RNAcentral's name for it is "partial 16S ribosomal RNA". It matches the Rfam family "Bacterial small subunit ribosomal RNA", at positions 29 to 507 of the family's 1533-position model. The record is from RNAcentral.